GAUGAACGCUGGCGGCGUGCCUAAUACAUGCAAGUCGAGCGAACAGACGAGGAGCCUGCUCCUCUGACGUUAGCGGCGGACGGGUGAGUAACACGUGGAUAACCUACCUAUAAGACUGGGAUAACUUCGGGAAACCGGAGCUAAUACCGGAUAAUAUAUUGAACCGCAUGGUUCAAUAGUGAAAGACGGUUUUGCUGUCACUUAUAGAUGGAUCCGCGCCGCAUUAGCUAGUUGGUAAGGUAACGGCUUACCAAGGCAACGAUGCGUAGCCGACCUGAGAGGGUGAUCGGCCACACUGGAACUGAGCCACGGUCCAGACUCCUACGGGAGGCAGCAGUAGGGAAUCUUCCGCAAUGGGCGAAAGCCUGACGGAGCAACGCCGCGUGAGUGAUGAAGGUCUUCGGAUCGUAAAACUCUGUUAUUAGGGAAGAACAAAUGUGUAAGUAACUAUGCACGUCUUGACGGUACCUAAUCAGAAAGCCACGGCUAACUACGUG
Molecule: ribosomal RNA, 497 nt
Filed under: uncultured bacterium
Lineage: Bacteria
Description: partial 16S ribosomal RNA
Rfam family: Bacterial small subunit ribosomal RNA
Source: RNAcentral